RNA transcript from Cuculus canorus (common cuckoo), 8634 nucleotides. It is a transcript of the gene named apoptosis antagonizing transcription factor, with no coding region annotated. The record is from RefSeq and is a predicted model, not a curated record. NCBI's taxonomy places the organism in Eukaryota, Metazoa, Chordata, Aves, Cuculiformes, Cuculidae. The transcript has 13 exons.
GCCACACUCCCUCCGCAGACUGCGCGCUCUCUCUUGGCCCCUCCUCCUUCCUCCUCCCCUCCCUCCCGCGCGAACAUGGCGGCGCCCUUAGCGCAGCAGCUGGAGGAGCUGCUCAACCCCCGGCCCAGCUUGCGCGACCCCGAGGACGACGCGGAGGAAGCUACAGUCGCUAAAGUGAUUGACAAAUUUGAGGAUGAAACUGCAGAUGACAUUUUCCCUGUUGGUAAUAUACGGAAAAGAGCUUCAGCAUCUCUCUUGGAAGCUGAUAAAAGGUACGGUGGAAAAGCUACAUCGCGCAAAGCCUUGCAAGAAGAGCUCUGGGGAGAUGCUCUCUCUGAAGAAGGAUCUGCUGGAGAAGCAUUAGAUGAAUGGUACAGUGGCAGUGAAGAUUCAGAAGAGGAUGGCGGCGUAAGCAGUGAGACAAAGGAGAAGCCCAGUGGUGUUGGCAGUGACCAGGAGGAUGACUUGGAAGAUGUUGAAGAGGCAGAUCUGGCUGUCGAGGCUAAGGCACCGAAGUUCAGUUUCCAGGAUAACACAGACUUUGAGAAAUUUGCAGAGGGGAUGGAUGAUGUUGGAAGCAGUGAGGGAGAAGAUGAAGAUGAGGAUGAAGAUGGUGCCAGCAUGGAAGAAGGAAGUGACGAGGAGGAGUAUGGGAGUGAAAAUCAUGAGAGUAUAAAGGAAACUAAAGACAGUGAAGAUGAUGGGGGGAUAAGGACUUUCUCAAAAGCAAAAGAGUCUGAAGAAGUAGAAAAAGGAAAAGCUGUGAGGAACCAGCUAGUACUGUGGGAUCAACUAUUGGAAGCAAGAAUCAAGAUGCAGAAGGCACUUACAACAGUCAACCGGCUUCCACAGCCAGACACUUACCCAGUCUUCAAAAAGGAAGGUGGACAAGAAUUUGACAACGCUGUGGAGAACUGUUGUAGAGCCGUGGAGGCAUUGCUGAAAGUAUUAGUGGACCUUCAGGAUGAGCUGCUUUAUGAAUACCCAGGCACGAGGCAUCUGGUAGAUGGAAAGCAAUCAAAAACUGAGAGUGAUGAUGAAAUCCCUAGCAGUACCGAUGAAGAGCAGGUGGAUAAGGCUCCAGAGAAGAAGAGGAGGCUCCCCAAACGAAAACUAAACAUGGAGGACUACCCAGAAUUCAUAGCCAAGCGGUAUGCCAGCUUCAGGACGUAUCGGAACAAUGUCUUGCAGAAGUGGCAUGAGAAGACAAAGCUGGCAUCUGGCAAAAUGGGAAAGGGUUUCGGUGCCUUUGAGCGUUCAAUCUUGACUCAGAUUGAUCAUAUUAUGAUGGACAAAGAGAGAUUACUACGGCGGACACAGACCAAGCGAUCAGUGUAUACAGUGCUGGGAAAGGAGGAACAGGAAUCUCAUCCAGUCCCUGAAUCUUUGCCUGAAAAUUCGGAAGUCCUCCCUGAGUCAGAUUCCAACAGGCACCUGAAGGACAUCGAUGAGGAGAUUUUUGAUGAUGAUGACUUCUAUCACCAGCUCCUUCGAGAAUUUAUAGAACGUAAAACCACUUCGCUGGACCCCAACGACCAGGUAGCAAUGGGCAGGCAGUGGCUGGCCAUCCAAAAGUUACGAAGCAAAAUAAAGAAGAAAGUGGACAGAAAAGCCAGUAAAGGAAGGAGAAUUCGGUAUCAUGUCCAUAGCAAGCUGGUGAGCUUCAUGGCACCUAUUGACCACUGUACAAUGAAUGAUGAUGCCAGGACGGAGCUUUAUCGGUCGCUGUUUGGGAAGAUCACUAGUGCCGAAGAACCUGAGCAGAAUUAGCAUUGGGCGAAGACUGAGCCCAGCGCCAGGCUCCACACCGCACGCCUUGGCCUGGCCGCUGUGCCAGGUAACUUCACCCUGUGCUGGCGGCUGCUGCGGCUCUGACAGCCCCCCCUGGCCUGGAGCACCCAAGCAGGGGCUCUCCACCUGCUGGUUCCUUGCUGAAAUCCUCACCGAGGGAACAUCAGACAUGGUUACUGCUAAAUCACACAGCUCAGGAGCGAGGUUAGACGCUUAAACGCCGUUUAAGGACGGUUAAACGCCGUCCUCUCUAGCUUUAAAAUGAACUCCCCUUCCUCCCAAAGACAAUCCAUUUUUAACUAUUCUCUUUAAAUUCCUGACCUUGAUUUUGCAGCCUGCUCAGCGCAGGCACGGCGUUCUGCCGGGGGGAGGGACGCAGUUCAGACCAGCGGGGACCACCAGCCCCCCUGCAAUCAGGUCACCCACGGCUAUGUUAAAUCCAUCGGGAUUUUCAUUUGGGGGUUGGGGAGUGUUUAAGCGUGCUGUUCUGGUCCUUGGCUGCAUAUCUGGAAUGAGUGACUUUAUUUUUCACUGAGUCAAGAGGAUUUAAAUGUCAUUUACAUAAUUAACAUGGCCUUAAAACAGAGGAAAGGUGCUCUCCCUUGCAGGCAGCCAGAGCUCCCCGUUCACGCUCCCGUUCCUGAAUGAGCGCUCGCUGCCCACAGAGACAUUUGCUGACUGGGGAUGAGCACAAGGCGGGGUGCAUGUGGGGGUGCUUUUGCAACUGGAAUAUAUGGGUGAAUUUUUCAGCCCAGCAUUGAUCCUUUUUACACUUAAUGAUUGCUGCUGCUUGCGAUUUGGAACCAUUCUGUCUUCUCCAUCAUUGUGACACACUGUUGAAGGAUGCCGGCACAAGUGUGAGACUGGCCAGAGGAGAUGGCACAGUUGAGGGCUUUGUGGGGGUUUUAUAUCCAGAGGUCAUAAACCAGAAAUUAAAUUCCCGUAAGGGGAAUUUGUCAGCCUGCGGUGAUCGGUCUGAAAUGGGGUUAUCUUGUGUAAAUAAUAUGUGUGCAUGCGUGUGUGCAAGUUGGCCGUUGCUGGUGACCACAUGAAGGGCACUGCCUUUGGUGUUCUGUGCGAUCUAAUUAAAAUGCUUUGUAAACUGAUUGUCCAAGUGCAGUGGGUGCAGGAAAGGUCCCAGCAGCCCCGGCCUCUCUCAGCCCCACUUACACGGUGUUACUUAACUGGUGUCUUUGGCGUCACUUUGCGCAGAGCCGGCACUGUGUGAGCAGUGAACAGCCAAAACACACAGGCAGAGAGGCCAGAGUGCUGUAGGAUGGAGCUGGAAACCUCUUGUCCAGCCGGGGCUCAUUCCUGGCCGUCCCUGGGGUCGCGGGGGCUCUGGAGCUGGUCUGACUCGGUACAGCCAUUUCACAGGGCUCAGGUGAUCUGAGCCCCUCUGCAAGGUCCUGCUAGUGACAGGAGGAGGUUUCUGCCAGGCCUCUUGUGUCUCUGUGAUGCUGUGGGCUCGUGAGCUGCUUCCCUGGUUUGGGCUGGUGCGGUGUGGCUGCUGCAGUGACUGAGUGGAAGGUGGUGUUUUUGUGACAUCCACUGCACAGCAUCGAGUUGGGAAAGCUUGCAAGAGUAUUGACAUUUCUGUUCACCAUCUGAAAAGCCCCAUUUCUGAACUUCAUAGUAAGACACGGGGGAUUUUGGUUUCUUCCCUGCGUAAGUUACAGCUUAGCAGGUUUUCAGUGGGCAACUAAAUUCCUUUUUCAGCUUAAAUAAAAUUCCACUCUGUUUUCUAAGUAUGUAAAAAGUUAAAGCAGAGGGGGGGAGACCACCCCACAGCCCGUGUUUCCCUGGCAGGUGAGGCCUGGCCUGCAGGAACAUCUGAUCACACCUUGGGUCUCCUCACGGGCGUUACCCCUUUCCUUCUCCUCCUGCUGUGCUGCUCCCCAGGUCCUGCUGCUGCUUGGAACGGGAUGUGCACUGCACCGUGCCCGUGGUGCUGUCUAUAGAGCUGGUAUUAAUUAAUCAGUUUUGUGCCUCAUCAUUGCACGUUUAAGUCUCCCCUCUAGUCACCAGCUUUCAAUACAGAGCUUCCCGAUACCUUCAGCAUUGUGUGGAGUACAGGGGCUGCCCCACGGAGCGAGAGCCAGCUCAGCUGCAGUGCCUUGGCCUGAGUGGUGCCAGGUGUGGGCAAUCCUGCGUUAAGAGCAGGAAAAACCCUCACACCUGAGUAGGGGUGCAGUUCUGGCUGAAUUCCAUGUUGGUGUGGCUGUGCCGGGAGGAGCUGCUGGCUCUAGGAAGCCAUUGGAGCUUUUCUUUUCCCUGUUCCUGGCUGGUGCUGGCCCUCGGCCCUUCCGAUCAGUGUGGGAGAGACGGCAGUGGAGGGCAGGCUCCCUGCCUGCGGACAACGUAGCAUUUUUCUGGGCUUUAGAAAAUAAGUGCCAAGGUGAGUAUUGACUUUGUGUGGAAAACAUACUUAUCAUGGAUGAAUAAAUCUUUAUGCUUGCUUGCAGCGAAGCAGGAGCUGCAGCUCCCUGGGCAAUGCAUUGAUUUCUCCCGUCCUGCUCCAGCUCGCAUCUCUCUGGUGAAAAUUCACCAGGCAGAAAUGUGCUUAAUGUCACCAUUGGCUCCUCUCUGCUGCCCUUUCUGUUUCAGGAUCCAGUGAUGGCGUCAGGUACAGCAAAGAGCCCAGCAGCAACUUCUGUCCCUCCCAUGAAGCUCAUGUGAGCUGCGAGAGUCAGAGACAAGGCACGGUUGUGGGAGCUGUGGGGAGAAGAGCCCAGAGGGCCCUUGGCUGCAGGGAAGGGCUGAUUUCAGACACCUGUACUGAGGUGUGGUGAGCAAUCAGCGAGCCCCUUCCUUUAGUUCCCUGUGCAGCCUAUCUGUGAGCUGCUCCACUGCAGAGGGAUGCAGCUGUGGGACACCCCAGGUGUUCUGCUCCUCCAGGUUUGACUGUCUUCCAUGGCAAAUCCUGGCAAUAUUGGGUCCUGUCUCCUCUGUCCAUUCCCCCCUUCAAUUCCGGCUCCCUGGUGAGAGGCAGAAGCCAGCGUGACACAGCGGCACCUUCUGCCGUAUUGGCACACUGUGCCCACUGCGAGUCGGGGCGGUGUCCCCACCCGUUGAACUCUACCUGUACUUAUUUUCUGAGCAGCAGCAAAGCUGUGCAGUCUUCGAACAUCAUUAAAAUCUCAUGGUUUAAUAACCACAAUUCUGAAAGGCAUCAAGGGGAGUAAAUUAGCUGCUUCCAAAGUUUGUGUCGGUGGAAUGGUUUCACGCUGCUUGCGCUGUCAGAGUGAGCAUUAGGGAUAUUUAACAGAAAGCACCGCAUCCCUACUUUGGGGUUUGCUGUGCUGGCAAGUCUGGCUGCUCUUUGCGGCUGAGGCUCGGGGUGUUGUCGGAACGUGCUGUGGCCGUGUCACCCCUUUCCCGUUUGACAACGCUGUCCUUUACAGCCCCAGCACCAGGGCACUUGAUUUUCCCUUGUUUCCUGAGAGCCCGCUGGAUGUGAUGUUAAAAGGGUAAUACAAAACACUUAAAUGUGAUAUGUUUGAAGAGAUAAGAGUCCAAGCCCUACUAAGCAUGCUUUUGAAUUUACUUAUCAGUGUUUAAGCAGGCUGUUCUCCCUGCCAGCCCCCACCACCUGGGUAGCGCGAUACACGGGGAGGCCCUGGUGCGGUGAGGCCCAUUCCAUCUGCUGACCUUGCUGGUAAGGGCAGUGCUUUAUUCCUGGCAGGAAAAUGGUCCCUCGCCUGGAUUGCACUGCGCUGCAGGAGAAAGUGCAGCCGGUGUAAUCCCUGAGGAACAACGCAACAGCGCUGCCAGCGAGGUGCCUGUGUCCAGCAGUGGCGCGGCUGCAGCUCUGCCCUCAGUGGCUCUGCCAGGGAAGGGGUUCCGUGUGCGCCAGGCUCUGCACUACCCACCACCCCCAGCCCGGCACAGGGGCAGGCGCUGCUCCCCGGCUCCGUCCCAUCCGCACCCCCAGUGCAGUGGGUGGCCCUGGAGCAGCACCGGCCGGGCCAGAGCCAGCGCACCCGAGAGUUGGGGGCUGUGGCGCAGGCAGAAGCUUUGAGAGCUGUGUAAUAAGGGCACAGAUAACCAGGAUGAUUUCCACUAAGUUUUCCUAAUGCUGCCAAUUAACAGCAAGUGAGAUAUUCCUCCUCCUCAAAUCGAAUAUUAAUUCUUUAUUAAUUCAUGGUACAGCUGCUAAUUAGUACCUACACAAAUAGGCAUUUUACCUUCGCAAAACAUUGCCCAGCGACGAGACGGUUACUGGGGAAUUGUGUGUGUGAUGGGGGACAGAGGGGUUGGGUUAAUCCUCCCCCCAACCCCACAGUAGCAAAGAAUUUCAACUUUCAGACAAACAACUUCAUUUACAAGUAUGUCUCUAAUUAGCUGCAGAAUUAGUAAAGCAGAGUUUUCCCCCCAUAGAUCGGCCAAACCCCUGAGGGAGGCUGUGGAAUAGAGAGAAUCGCAUUUCCAAUUAUUUUGUUGAAUUGCUAAUUUAGUUAUUGUGCCUGGCGUAAUUGUGAUGGGUAUUGGGUGUGCAAUUCAAUUUGUUUUAAAUAUUUGUGGGAAGGCUGAUCAGUAAUGGAGCUGACCUAUUUCAUGGCCCAAAUUGAGGGAAGAGACUAAAACAAAACACAGCUACAAAGCCACAGUUUGUCUCAGUUUUUAUUUUGAUGUCUCUCAUCCCUCUUAAGACUGUUGAUGCAACAAAAGGUUUACAUUAAAAGAUGAUGGCACUUUGAUCUUGGGCUUUUGAGAGCUUACAGCUCUGGUACUGCUUUUCUUGGCAUUUUAAUAUGUAGAUAUUUUAGGCUAAAGAGUUUUAAAUGUGUUUCUGGAGUUCAGUGGGCUCCAUCCCCUCACACACACAGUUCUGUUCGUUAAGGUGAUUUGUGUUUUUAACCCUCUGAAUUCUGCUUUGACAAAUGUGUGAGAAACAGCUGCUGCCGCUGUGUCCAGUUUAACACAUCCUGGAACGCUCACCUUUAACACAGGGAACGUCUGGGCUGUGUUUGUGCCUGCGGGGCUCCGGGGUGGCAGGGGACGCCCCAAGGUCCCUGGUUCCAUCCAGUGGGAUCCUGGCAGAGAUCCCUGCCCGUGGGGGCUGGAGGCUGUGGGGGCUCUCCUGCCUCCCCCACGGCAGUUGCUGGGGCUGUGCUUUCUGCUCGUUUCAGUUGCUGUUGUGUUAAAGACAACAACAAAUCCAUGGAGGAGGAACAGGACACGCUAAUGGCUCGCUGGGAUGGCAGCUGCAGGCAAGGAGUUGCGCCCGGAGCCUUGGGCAGGGACCGGACCUGCGGGGGGACAAGGAGCCGGUCCUUUUGCCCCAGCACGGCUCCGCGCCGACCACCCCACUCCUCCGGCUGCUCAGGGGCUGGAGUGGACGCAACAAAGCUCGGAGAAAGAUGAAGGUCUGAUAGGGAAAGCGGAGCUCUCCGUACGGCGCUUGGGACAAGGGGGACAGAUUUCCACUCCUGGCAACAGCGAGGUAAUUCAUUGUUUUUAUUAAAAGAAACUGAGGUAAGUGAAAUACUUCAGCACCAGCGAGAACCACGUGUACCAGGGGUGCCCUCCCCGCCACCCUGGCCCUGCUGGGGAGCCGACCCGCACCACUGCUGGGCUCAGGGAGAACGGCCGAGACGUCAGCUCCUGCAGGCCUGGACCUCCUCAGGGCUCCUGGGCCUUGUGCCGAGCUUGGGCUUAAGCUCCAGUGUUACCCAGCGGCUGGUUCUUGGAGCUACUUUAACCCCAGAUUAAGUGGGGCCUGACCCCGUGCCUGUAACACUGCAACAGAGGGUGGCUGCUCCAGCCCGAGCAGGAGCAACGGAGCAGUGGGCACGGGGACAUCUCCUGUAACACCUGCAGGAGUCCUACCACCCUGUAGGGAAUCCUGGUGACAGCAGAGGAGCUGCAGUGCCCCCGAGCUGUCCUGCCUGGCUGAGAGGAGACAUUCUCUGUCCUGUGCGUCCUGCCGCGGCCCUGACUGGCAGUAAUAAGUAACAGCAUCUUUGGGGGCUCAAGGACCGCUAGUGGAAAAAAAAAAGUCUCCUAAGUCUCCUAAAUGAAAUGAGAGUUCUUAACUAUUAAGAAAAAUCUCGUCCUUCAGCUGACGCAGCUCUGCUGGCCGGGGCUGGGCUGCCCCGCUGGCAUCAGGCAUCCAGCAGGGCCGCAUCGCGUGUCAGAAGGAAACAGUACAGGCAUGAGGCACAGGCGUUAAUAUAUGCUCUCACAGAAACAUCCCUUCCGAUUCAUGCUUUACUGUCAUAAAACCUGAAACACUUUAAGACAAGUUCUGUAACAGUAACAGCAUCCAGAUGCUGGGGGCUGGCAGGGCUUCCCUCCAGAGUUCCAGCUUCUCUGGCAUUUUAUUAUGCUCAGGAGGCCCAUAAAAAUAACAAAGGGUGAAACAAGCCAGAGCCCUGGGCUGGGCUGUGGGAUCUGCUGCUGCGCCUCCAACCCGGGCAGCCGCACUCCACGCCAGUGCUGCGCUCACCAGCAAACAUCCACUGGAGAGGGUUUAUUCCUGGCUGCCUGCAAAGAGUCACCCCUGGAAUAGGUGCAGAAGACGGCAGGUGCUAAGGAUGGGGAUUACCAAAAAGAACUACCGCCAUCUCCCUAGAGGAAUCACAGCCAUCCUGUCCCGCAGGGCCGGGCUGGAGCCAGCUCCAGGGCAGAGGUGAGUGAGGAUGGAGAAAGACUUUGCUCGGCUGCAUUACAGCAAGAUCUCCUUUUGCAGUUUAAAACCCAUUGGUGUAUUUGACUCUGCCCUUUCCCUCCCUCUCCCUGCAUCUGCUCCCUGCCUCAGGUACCACUCAGAUGAAAGGGAUCAGCACUUCCAUGACAUAGGCACAACAGUGGGGCUGCCCCGUGGCUGUUAUCUCUCAA